Molecule: ribosomal RNA, 253 nt
Filed under: uncultured bacterium
Lineage: Bacteria
Description: partial 16S ribosomal RNA
Rfam family: Bacterial small subunit ribosomal RNA
Source: RNAcentral
UACAGAGGUCUCAAGCGUUGUUCGGAAUUAUUGGGCGUAAAGGGCGCGUAGGCGGCCCGGUAAGUCAGAGGUGAAAUCCCUCGGCUCAACUGAGGAAUUGCCUUUGAAACUGCCAGGCUUGAGGCCGGGAGGGGGUAGCGGAAUUCCCAGUGUAGCGGUGAAAUGCGUAGAUACUGGGAGGAACACCAGUGGCGAAGGCGGCUACCUGGACCGGUUCUGACGCUGAUGCGCGAAAGCGUGGGGAGCAAACAGG